RNAcentral lists this ribosomal RNA (332 nucleotides) under uncultured eukaryote. Its description in RNAcentral is "partial 18S ribosomal RNA". It matches the Rfam family "Eukaryotic small subunit ribosomal RNA", at positions 1470 to 1796 of the family's 1831-position model. The record is from RNAcentral.
CCCUUAGAUGUUCUGGGCCGCACGCGCGCUACACUGUUCGACGCAGCGAGUCUUAACCUUGACCGAAAGGUUUGGGUAAUCUUCAGCAAAGUCGAACGUGAUGGGGAUCGAUCAUUGCAAUUAUUGAUCGUGAACGAGGAAUUCCUAGUAAGUGCGAGUCAUCAGCUUGCGCUGAUUACGUCCCUGCCCUUUGUACACACCGCCCGUCGCUACUACCGAUUGAAUGGUUUAGUGAGAUCUCUGGAUUGACGCUGGCUAGGGGGCGACCCUUGGCCAGACUGCUCGAGAAACUGCUCAAACUUGAUCAUUUAGAGGAAGUAAAAGUCGUAACA